UUGACCUCGGAUCAGGUAGGGAUACCCGCUGAACUUAAGCAUAUCAAUAAGCGGAGGAAAAGAAACCAACAGGGAUUGCCUCAGUAACGGCGAGUGAAGCGGCAACAGCUCAAAUUUGAAAUCUGGCCUUCUGGUCCGAAUUGUAAUUUGUAGAGGAUGCUUCGAACAUGGUCCGGUCUAAGUUCCUUGGAACAGGACGUCAUAGAGGGUGAGAAUCCCGUAUGUGACUGGGUGCCUAAGUUCAUGUGAAGCUCCUUCAACGAGUCGAGUUGUUUGGGAAUGCAGCUCAAAAUGGGUGGUAAAUUUCAUCUAAAGCUAAAAUAUUGGCCAGAGACCGAUAGCGCACAAGUAGAGUGAUCGAAAGAUGAAAAGCACUUUGGAAAGAGAGUUAAAUAGUACGUGAAAUUGUUGAAAGGGAAGCGCUUGCAAUCAGACUUGCAUGCAGUUGAUCAUCCGAUGUUCUCACCGGUGCACUCAUCUGUAUUCAGGCCAGCAUCGGUUUUGGUGGUUGGAUAAAGGCCUUGGGAAUGUAGCUUCUUUCGGGGAGUGUUAUAGCCCAGGGUGCAAUGUAGCCUACCAGGACCGAGGACCGCGCUCGGCUAGGAUGCUGCG
This 612-nucleotide ribosomal RNA is filed under the name uncultured Helotiales. Its description in RNAcentral is "eukaryotic LSU rRNA". It matches the Rfam family "Eukaryotic large subunit ribosomal RNA", at positions 1 to 630 of the family's 3401-position model. Lineage: Eukaryota; Fungi; Ascomycota; Leotiomycetes; Helotiales. The record is from RNAcentral.